This 327-nucleotide unclassified non-coding RNA is filed under the name Allobrachymonas denitrificans DSM 15123. RNAcentral describes it as "Brachymonas denitrificans DSM 15123 Long range pseudoknot". Lineage: Bacteria; Pseudomonadati; Pseudomonadota; Betaproteobacteria; Burkholderiales; Comamonadaceae. The record is from RNAcentral.
ACCGACGACGGCGAUUACAACAUCAAGAUGCGCAACAUCCGCCGCUUCCUGGAAGACGGCGACAAGUGUAAAAUCACGCUUCGCUUCCGCGGCCGCGAGAUUACGCACCAGGAGAUCGGCAUGGCCCUGCUCCAGCGCAUUCGCGAUGAACUGGGUGACAGCAUCACGGUCGAGUCCUUCCCCAAACUGGAAGGCCGCCAGAUGAUCAUGAUGAUCGCCCCCGGCCGCAAGAAGCCGGCUGCAGCCAAGCCGGCGGCAACUGCUGCCGAAGAAGGCCAGCAGUAAAUUCCUGAACAAGGUUCGAAGGCAGGACGCGCAAGCGCCCUG